GUCCAUCACUUCCAGGGACAGCUGCUGACCACCCUCAUGCCCCAAGGAGGAGGAAGAAGAGAAGGGGGAGCAGAGGGAAGGCUCCCAGCCCAUAGAGCAGCCAGGCCUGCCGGGAGCAGCCAUGUGCUGCUCCAUCCUCCCAAGUCCGCGCACACUCUAUGCACCCGGACGUUGCACCAGAAAGAUCUCAAUGCAAACCUAGUGAGGGGGGGAACAAAACCUGCUGCUAAUUGAGGGAUUUUGGAGUAGAUUUAAUUAGGGCCAGAGCACUGGCGCAGGCUGCUGCUGCCACCUGCAGCACUCUCCGCAGCCGCUGGCGUGGGCUCUGGGGACUCCAGGCUCCCGCCCAGGCCUGCCUGGGGUCCAGACAGGGAAUGAGGAACCCCGCGAGUCCCGCAGGCUCACCCCCCUCACACACCCACCCCCACAAACCCGUUAUUUCCCAGCACAAUAAGCACCUCCAGCAGCGACGGAACCAAGGGCUCGGCCAAAAAAUAAAGAGGAAGAAAAGCCAUAUUUUCUCCCUGGAGUCGGAUCGUCCCGAUCUCCCCUCGGAGGAAUCAAGAGGGGCCGAGUUAUCUAAUUAAUGCUGGCAGAAGCGGGAGGCCGAGGGCUGGGGGGCGGCGGCGGCCCACAAAGGCGGCGUGGGGAGCGGUCUCCCCGCCGCCGCCGCCGGCAUCCCCCGGCAAUGGGGCCCCACGCUGGGAGUGAGGUUGGCAGCUGGAGGCCGCGCCAUGACCCCCGUGCCAAAAAACACCACCUAAAACCCACAGGGAGAACAUGGAGGCAGAACAACAGAGCCCAGCACACGUCAGGCAUCACAAAACCCUGACGGCACAAUCCCGGCCCCGGGAUGCUGCAGGUAUUAAAUGAUCCGUCGGAAAC
Molecule: non-coding RNA, 885 nt
Organism: Taeniopygia guttata (zebra finch)
Lineage: Eukaryota; Metazoa; Chordata; Aves; Passeriformes; Estrildidae
Source: RefSeq, a predicted model, not a curated record